RNAcentral lists this unclassified non-coding RNA (693 nucleotides) under Hevea brasiliensis (rubber tree). The record is from RNAcentral. Lineage: Eukaryota; Viridiplantae; Streptophyta; Magnoliopsida; Malpighiales; Euphorbiaceae.
GCAAUCCAUUACUCUCCCCUGUUGUCCCUGAGAACAGGCAUUCUCUCCUACUAACAGAAUUGAUGACUCGAUUCAGAUUCAAGUCCUGAAAUGCCAUUUGACAAGGUGCAGAAACGAACAAUAGUAAUAAAAUUUUAUACAACAGCAUUGUACCUCCGUUAAUAUCCAUCAGCCUCAAGACCAUUUUUUUAGUUGAGUUGAGUAUCGAAUUGAAACGGAGAAAGAGGAGGGGCAGUUGUAUCCACUUUUUGAUUCACAGUUCAUUUUCAAUUUUUUUUUUAGUAGAAUUAGCCUUAGCAGAGGCUAGUGAAAAUUGCACCAUUGUUGAAACAUUGAAUCCGAUUGGACAUAAUUACCUACUAAAGUUGGCAACCAAUUGUCCUAGGGAGUUAUUGACCAUUACCACGAUUCCAACUAUAGAUGGGUUCAAAUGUAAUAAACAGUGAGGCUACUAAACAUGAGUAACAAGAAUGAUGUGGAAGGGUAAAGGUCACUGCAUAGACAGCAAGGAACAGCACUCCAAAAGCAAAAUGGAAAUUGUACAUAAAUUAAUAUACGUGUUUUUAACUAUGCUGAGAAUAGUUAUGCCCGUUUAUGUAUACCAGAUGAUAAUUACAAGCUAAUACCAGUAAUACUUCGUGGUCACUAGUAUUUUACAGGAUUCUUAAAAAAUAUAUAAAUAAAUAAAUAAAA